RNAcentral lists this transfer RNA (76 nucleotides) under Gammaproteobacteria bacterium. RNAcentral describes it as "tRNA-Glu". It matches the Rfam family "tRNA". Rfam says of the family: Transfer RNA (tRNA) molecules are approximately 80 nucleotides in length. Their secondary structure includes four short double-helical elements and three loops (D, anti-codon, and T loops). Further hydrogen bonds mediate the characteristic L-shaped molecular structure. tRNAs have two regions of fundamental functional importance: the anti-codon, which is responsible for specific mRNA codon recognition, and the 3' end, to which the tRNAs corresponding amino acid is attached (by aminoacyl-tRNA synthetases). tRNAs cope with the degeneracy of the genetic code in two manners: having more than one tRNA (with a specific anti-codon) for a particular amino acid; and 'wobble' base-pairing, i.e. permitting non-standard base-pairing at the 3rd anti-codon position. The record is from RNAcentral. Lineage: Bacteria; Pseudomonadati; Pseudomonadota; Gammaproteobacteria.
GCUCCCUUCGUCUAGCGGUUAGGACGCCGGCCUCUCACGCCGGUAACAGGGGUUCUGAACCCCCUAGGGAGCGCCA